UACGUAGGAAGCGAGCGUUAUCCGGAUUUACUGGGCGUAAAGUGGACGUAGGCGGCUCGUCAAGUCGGAUGUGAAAUCUCCUGGCUUAACUGGGAGGGGUCAUCCGAUACUGUCGGGCUGGAGUGCAGCAGGGGAAGGUGGAAUUCCCGGUGUAGUGGUGAAAUGCGUAGAUAUCGGGAGGAACACCAGUGGCGAAGGCGGCCUUCCAGGCUGUUUCUGACGCUGAGGUCCGAAAGUGUGGGGAG
This 245-nucleotide ribosomal RNA is filed under the name uncultured bacterium. RNAcentral's name for it is "partial 16S ribosomal RNA". It matches the Rfam family "Bacterial small subunit ribosomal RNA", at positions 524 to 768 of the family's 1533-position model. The record is from RNAcentral.